RNAcentral lists this ribosomal RNA (366 nucleotides) under uncultured bacterium. Its description in RNAcentral is "bacterial SSU rRNA". It matches the Rfam family "Bacterial small subunit ribosomal RNA", at positions 42 to 422 of the family's 1533-position model. The record is from RNAcentral.
UCAGGCCUAACACAUGCAAGUCGAGCGGGGUUUUCGGACCUAGCGGCGGACGGGUGAGUAAUGCGUAGGAAGCUACCCGAUAGAGGGGGAUACCAGUUGGAAACGACUGUUAAUACCGCAUAAUGUCUACGGACCAAAGUGUGGGACCUUCGGGCCACAUGCUAUCGGAUGCGCCUACGUGGGAUUAGCUAGUUGGUGAGGUAAUGGCUCACCAAGGCGACGAUCCCUAGCUGGUUUGAGAGGAUGAUCAGCCACACUGGAACUGAGACACGGUCCAGACUCCUACGGGAGGCAGCAGUGGGGGAUAUUGGACAAUGGGCGCAAGCCUGAUCCAAAAGUGCCGCGUGUGUGAAGAAGGCCUUCGGG